This 497-nucleotide ribosomal RNA is filed under the name uncultured bacterium. RNAcentral's name for it is "partial 16S ribosomal RNA". It matches the Rfam family "Bacterial small subunit ribosomal RNA", at positions 28 to 507 of the family's 1533-position model. The record is from RNAcentral.
GAUGAACGCUGGCGGCGUGCCUAAUACAUGCAAGUCGAGCGAACAGACGAGGAGCUUGCUCCUCUGACGUUAGCGGCGGACGGGUGAGUAACACGUGGAUAACCUACCUAUAAGACUGGGAUAACUUCGGGAAACCGGAGCUAAUACCGGAUAAUAUAUUGAACCGCAUGGUUCAAUAGUGAAAGACGGUUUUGCUGUCACUUAUAGAUGGAUCCGCGCCGCAUUAGCUAGUUGGUAAAGUAACGGCUUACCAAGGCAACGAUGCGUAGCCGACCUGAGAGGGUGAUCGGCCACACUGGAACUGAGACACGGUCCAGACUCCUACGGGAGGCAGCAGUAGGGAAUCUUCCGCAAAGGGCGAAAGCCUGACGGAGCAACGCCGCGUGAGUGAUGAAGGUCUUCGGAUCGUAAAACUCUGUUAUUAGGGAAGAACAAAUGUGUAAGUAACUAUGCACGUCUUGACGGUACCUAAUCAGAAAGCCACGGCUAACUACGUG